AUAGAUCAGGUGAUCAUCGGGACUCUUAAUCAUCGGGUCCCAGGUUCGAGCCCUGGUGCGCCCACCA
This 67-nucleotide transfer RNA is filed under the name Bradyrhizobium sp. OAE829. RNAcentral's name for it is "tRNA-Lys". The record is from RNAcentral. Lineage: Bacteria; Pseudomonadati; Pseudomonadota; Alphaproteobacteria; Hyphomicrobiales; Nitrobacteraceae.